AGAAUCAACGCUGGCGGCGUGCCUAACACAUGCAAGUCGAGCGCGAAAGGGGAGCAAUCCCCAAGUAGAGCGGCGAACGGGUGAGUAACGCGUGGGUAAUCUACCUCCGAGUGGGGAACAACAGCGGGAAACUGCUGCUAAUACCGCAUGACAUCGUCGAGCCUUCGGGUUUGACGAUCAAAGCCGGGGACCGCAAGGCCUGGCGCUUGGAGACGAGCCCGCGUCCGAUUAGCUAGUUGGCGGGGUAAUGGCCCACCAAGGCUCCGAUCGGUA
Molecule: ribosomal RNA, 273 nt
Filed under: uncultured soil bacterium
Lineage: Bacteria
Description: partial 16S ribosomal RNA
Rfam family: Bacterial small subunit ribosomal RNA
Source: RNAcentral